UGGAUAGAUUAUUGUAUUCGACUGUAUUCAUUGUGUGAAAUAGGGAGUUACACUAUUUUUAAACGGAAAGUGAAUCAAUUAACAUAAUAGACUCCU
Molecule: microRNA precursor, 96 nt
Filed under: Nicotiana sylvestris (wood tobacco)
Lineage: Eukaryota; Viridiplantae; Streptophyta; Magnoliopsida; Solanales; Solanaceae
Also listed under: 1 other name
Description: MIR6152 microRNA precursor family
Rfam family: MIR6152 microRNA precursor family
Source: Rfam by way of RNAcentral